AAAUACUCUGCCGUCCAUGCGAGAGGGCGGAUGGGGAGGCUGGCCCAGGCGGUGGGAGGCCUGCCCUCUGCGCUGCCGGGCUCAUCUGUUCGGUAAUCGCAUAUUUGGCUGCCUCCAGCGAGGCCAUUGCACUCUUUCCCACCUCCUCUCUCCAAGUGACAUUCUCCCUUUGGCUUUUGUUCAGAAGUUUAUGUUACCGACUCAGCACGUUGUCAUCCUGAGUGAGCUACAGCAGAUGUAAAUGCUAGUCACUACCCACGGGAUAACCAGCCGUCUCAAAGCAAGCUAAGUCCCAUUUCAAGACAAAACCAGUGAAUACCACCCUUCCUGCACUGGGAACCUCCUGUGUUUUUGUAGCCCACAAUGUUCUCCCUGCAAAGCUUGGGAGGGGGAGAAGGAGACUGUAAGUAAAGGGGCUGGUUCCUUGCUUAGAGUCGUUGCAAAAGAUUCCUACAAAAGAAAAUUACUUGCAUUGAUGACUUGCCAAAAAAUCUUCUGACUGUAGCUGUUGUGAGAAGCAGGGCUCUGGAAACCAGGGAGUAAAAAGAAGACUCAUUAUGGCUUUCUGGGAAGAGCAAAGGAUCAGCAAAUGUUCCAGCAAGGGAUGUCAUGUUUUGGGGCUUUGUCUGUCUUGCUGGGGCCCUUCCUUCUGCUCCAGGGCAGAGGUGGCCCAAAAGACUGUUCCAGUAUCCGUCCCAGGCUGUGGCAAGGGGUCGCUUUCACAGCAGCUAAGCAAUUUGGCUCUGCACCCUUUGCUAAUAUUUCAUGACCCAGGACAGCGUUAACCAAAGUCACCCGUGCUGGUGUUUUAGCACCGUUCCAACGGCCGCGGCACGAUCCCGGGGGUGAAGCCACGACGACACAGUGCAAACUCUGUUUGAGCGAAGGUGGAGUUACGUCCCCGCGGCCCACUGGAACUGGGUCCUCUUGUGUCCCUUCUCCACAUUAUUUCAUCUGCAAAUCAAUCUCUGGCACAAAGCACCUGUUAAAUAGGCAGAACCGACGGUCGGGCUGGACUUUGCCCCCUGAGACGUGCACUAAUUUCAGACGGGCAGAAGUAACGCAGAUAAGGCAGGACGGAGGAGAAGGCACCAAACAGGCCACGCGUGCACCCAACUCAAUGAUGCCGAGAGGUCUGCAGCUGGAGAAAACAAACCCCUCGAGUGUCUGUGGGCAUCAGGCUCGGGUGACUCUUGCACGGUCUUGGAAUGGAAGUGGGGCAGGUCUAUUGGGUUUUUGCAUCCGAGCCCCAAUCCUGGGGUUUACUGUACAAAGGGAAAGCAGUGGAUACGGCCCAGGGGCCGUGCUGCCCUGUGUAAGUGGUGCUCCCUAUCCAGCAGACCUCUAGCGUUCAAGCAGGCUUCUAUCGCCCAUUGACUGUCCCUGGGAUUUGUGCCCCCCUAACUCACUGGGAAGCUUUUUUAAAGCCCUGCCUUGAAACGUGACUCCAUCCCAUUUCCCCCCUUCCUGCCUUUUCCGAGCAGCUCAGAGCAGGGGCUCACACCUGGCCCCGCUCCGCCGAGGGGACCCCGCGUGGGCCUGCUGAGUCCGGAGGCUGGACCGGCGCGAGGAAUUUUAAUUCCUGCAUUAAGUGAAGACCCCAGCAGAUAAGGUAUGGAGUGAAAUGGCUAUUUUGUCUCUGUCAGACAGUUUGAUUUUCUGUAGGCGGGAAGGCUGGCCUUUUUAAUGCUUUUGAUCAAUUCUUUUUUCAACCGUUAUUUGCUGAAAUUAAGUGAGUUUUGAUUGGAAAAUAAGCUUAACCAACUGCUUUAUUAGUCAGCGGAAAUUGCUUUGGUUAAUUGACAGAGGAAAUAUUGGAAGAGAAAUCAAGACCUGGAAAAUGUUACUUAACAGGAAUAGUUCAGCUCCCCUUAAUCGUGUUAGAAUACAAUUUUGUGGCAAUAUUGAAUGCAGGGAUGUUACGGGUUCUUUUUCAAGGCAAAAUAGUAGAAU
Crocodylus porosus (Australian saltwater crocodile) is the source of this 1953-nucleotide long non-coding RNA. NCBI's taxonomy places the organism in Eukaryota, Metazoa, Chordata, Crocodylia, Crocodylidae. The record is from Ensembl.